GUAAGGGAAUCUUCCGCAAUGGACGAAAAGGUCUGACGAAGCCACGCCGCGUGAGGUGAUGAAGGAUUUUCGGAUCGUAAAACUCUGUGUAAGGGAAGAACAAAGUACCCGUUCGAAUAGGGCGGCACUUGACGGUACCUAACCCAGAAAGCCACGGGCUAACUACGUGCCCAGCAGCCGCGGUAAUACGUAGGUGGCAAGCGUUGUCCGGAAUUAUUGGGCGUAAAGCGCGCGCAGGCGGUUUCUUAAGUCUGAUGUGAAAGCCCCCGGCUCAACCGGGGAGGGUCAUUGGAAACUGGGGAACUUGAGUGCAGAAGAGGAGAGUGGAAUUCCACGUGUAGCGGUGAAAUGCGUAGAGAUGUGGAGGAACACCAGUGGCGAAGGCGACUCUCUGGUCUGUAACUGACGCUGAGGCGCGAAAGCGUGGGGAGCGAACAGGAUUAGAUACCCUGGUAGUCCACGCCGUAAACGAUGAGUGCUAAGUGUUAGAGGGUUUCCGCCCUUUAGUGCUGCAGCAAACGCAUUAAGCACUCCGCCUGGGGAGUACGGUCGCAAGACUGAAACUCAAAGGAAUUGACGGGGGCCCGCACAAGCGGUGGAGCAUGUGGUUUAAUUCGAAGCAACGCGAAGAACCUUACCAGGUCUUGACAUCCUCUGACAACCCUAGAGAUAGGGCUUCCCCUUCGGGGGCAGAGUGACAGGUGGUGCAUGGUUGUCGUCAGCUCGUGUCGUGAGAUGUUGGGUUAAGUCCCGCAACGAGCGCAACCCUUGAUCUUAGUUGCCAGCAUUCAGUUGGGCACUCUAAGGUGACUGCCGGUGACAAACCGGAGGAAGGUGGGGAUGACGUCAAAUCAUCAUGCCCCUUAUGACCUGGGCUACACACGUGCUACAAUGGGCAGAACAAAGGGCAGCGAAGCCGCGAGGCUAAGCCAAUCCCACAAAUCUGUUCUCAGUUCGGAUCGCAGUCUGCAACUCGACUGCGUGAAGCUGGAAUCGCUAGUAAUCGCGGAUCAGCAUGCCGCGGUGAAUACGUUCCCGGGCCUUGUACACACCGCCCGUCACACCACGAGAGUUUGUAACACCCGAAGUCGGUGAGGUAACCUUGAGCCAGCCGCCGAGCUUAACAGUC
Molecule: ribosomal RNA, 1129 nt
Filed under: Bacillus sp. (in: firmicutes)
Lineage: Bacteria; Bacillati; Bacillota; Bacilli; Caryophanales; Bacillaceae
Description: bacterial SSU rRNA
Rfam family: Bacterial small subunit ribosomal RNA
Source: RNAcentral